This 254-nucleotide ribosomal RNA is filed under the name uncultured bacterium. Its description in RNAcentral is "partial 16S ribosomal RNA". It matches the Rfam family "Bacterial small subunit ribosomal RNA", at positions 524 to 776 of the family's 1533-position model. The record is from RNAcentral.
UACGUAGGGGGCGAGCGUUGUCCGGAUUUAUUGGGCGUAAAGAGCGCGUAGGUGGUUCGCCAAGUCGGAUGUGAAAUCUCCAGGCUCAACCUGGAGCUGCCAUUCGAUACUGGCGUGACUAGAGUCCGGUAGGGGACCACGGAAUUCCUGGUGUAGCGGUGAAAUGCGCAGAUAUCAGGAGGAACACCGAUGGCGAAGGCAGUGGUCUGGGCCGGUACUGACGCUGAGGCGCGAAAGCGUGGGUAGCAAACAGG